This 177-nucleotide non-coding RNA is filed under the name Desulfosporosinus meridiei. Lineage: Bacteria; Bacillati; Bacillota; Clostridia; Eubacteriales; Desulfitobacteriaceae. The record is from RNAcentral.
UUCAAUAGUUUAGUUAUAGGUGCCCUUUAAUUGAGGGUGAAUAGGGAACCGGGUGAGAAUCCCGGGCGGACCCACCACUGUAUAGAGGAGACUUAUGCAUUUGCCACUGGGAAACCGGGAAGGCGCAUACUGUCGGUGAUUCUAAGUCAGGAGACCUGCCUAUAAUGUUGGAUUCAU